This 301-nucleotide ribosomal RNA is filed under the name uncultured bacterium. RNAcentral's name for it is "partial 16S ribosomal RNA". It matches the Rfam family "Bacterial small subunit ribosomal RNA", at positions 509 to 807 of the family's 1533-position model. The record is from RNAcentral.
CAGCCGCCACGGUAAUACGUAGGUGGCAAGCGUUGUCCGGAAUUACUGGGCGUAAAGCGCACGUAGGCGGUUAUUCAAGUCAGAGGUGAAAGCCCGGGGCUCAACCCCGGAACUGCCUUUGAAACUAGAUGACUGGAAUCUUGGAGAGGUCAGUGGAAUUCCGAGUGUAGAGGUGAAAUUCGUAGAUAUUCGGAAGAACACCAGUGGCGAAGGCGACUGACUGGACAAGUAUUGACGCUGAGGUGCGAAAGCGUGGGGAGCAAACAGGAUUAGAUACCCCCGUAGUCCCUGUCUCUUAUAC